Molecule: long non-coding RNA, 1421 nt
Organism: Nomia melanderi (Alkali bee)
Lineage: Eukaryota; Metazoa; Arthropoda; Insecta; Hymenoptera; Halictidae
Source: RefSeq, a predicted model, not a curated record
CGAAAUAAUAUUGAAUCGAUACUAUCGACUCAAGUCUCAGAAUGAUCAUUUUGUAUCGAUCGGCAUCGAACAUAUGUAAUCGAUAUCGAUUUAAUGGGUAUUAAUGUUCCAUCAAUUCGUUUGGAAAUUUAAGUGUUAGUGAUUUUCUUUUGAUAUAUACAAACAGAUAUCACUAAUCGAAUGGUUUGAAUACUAUCGAUACGCUUGUAUCCAUCCAAACACUACUUGUUGAUAGUUGAAAUUAUUGUGUACAACACGCAAUUCUAUAAUGUCAUCGGAUGCGUUAGUCGGUCAACAAAAACUGCGAGGUAUGACAGGCUAUUCGUUCCUACGCAACGCGGAGCUAUUGUUCCGCGGCUAGCUAGUCCGGCCCGACAAGACGAUAAAUGGGAAAAUGAACGAGGCCUGCGAGUUACGAUCUUCCGUGCACGGUAAUUAUUCUUGGUUUUCCAACGAAUCCGUUCGGCUUAUUUUACCUACGAGAUCUAACGAGAAGAUCAUCAACCUGAAUUUCUAAUAUGCUUUUCGAAAUUGUUAUUUAUAAUUCUACAUAUAAUUGUACCAAUUUUUAGUUUUCAUUCUAUUCUUGAUUUUUAAACAAGUUCCUUGCGAACUGAUGAAAAAAAGUACAAAUGCAUAUUAAUCGUUAAAUAUAAACAAUUAAUCGCUUCAAAAAUUGAUAUCUUCACUGUGUCUGAUCAUAUACAGAAUAAUGCUACUGUCUGUGCUCUAUUCACGGAGUCGACAAAAUUUGUACCUGUCAAGAACACAAAUCGUAUUUAUCCAGUAUUUGUUUCAUUUUUGUAACGACCGCAAUUAAUCUGUACAUAAUAUGUGUAAUUUAUUGGUCAAUUAUGUAUUAUUGAGGAGUUGGUACUUACUUAGCUCACUAUUCACGAGUGGUGCCUCUUCCAAGCUUUUUCCAUGAUUUACAGGUUUUUAUUAUUGUUAUGCAUACAUGCAUUUACAAUAUAGUUUCAAUAACAAUAUUGCAGAGAAAAUAAUAGAAGCGUACUACAAAAAUUAAGAAUGGUAAUAUGUCGGAUAAGAUUUCUCCUUAUUCAUAAUAUAAAACAGUGCAAUUUUAAAAAAUUACUUUCAUUAUUGACGCAUUAUAAUAUUAUGCCGUAAAAUUAAUUAUUUAUGGCAUUAUAUUUAUUAAUUAAUAAAACAAUAAAGGAUAGAUACUGAAUUUCAUUUAUAGUUUUUUUUUCGUGUGAGUAGAAAAGGUCGGGUAUUAGUCAGACGGAUAAGGAUAUUAUAUGAAACUAUAAAACAACGGGAAUAACAAUACAACAGAUUUUUUAUUUGCAGGGCUGGCUGCCCUGUAAUAUGGAAAUAAAAAUAUUUAAUGUAUAAAAUAUAGUAAAAUAUAUAUAAUUUCCGUGUAUUGUACUAUUGUCUUUUUUUAACAAUAUCAU